AACCGAAGGGCUUGCUCUUCGGGGUUGUGGAUCAGCAAAAAGGACGGAAGACCUUAGCAGAAGAGGAUUGGAAAGUCCCGCCAGAGAGGGUAAAAGCCCCUUACGCGAAAAGGUCAAACGACGAGCUGACACCAGAGUACCGCAGGACACGAGAAAUCCGGUGGGAAGCCGGGAGGACCACCUCCCAAGCCUAAAUACGAAUUGGUGACCGAUAGCGCAUAGUACCGUGAGGGAAAGGUGAAAAGAACCCCGGGAGGGGAGUGAAAGAGAACCUGAAACCCUGUGUUUACAAGCAGUGAAAGUGCAAGUUAGGCACGAUCACGUACUUUUUGUAGAACGGACCGGCGAGUUACGUUAUGCAGCAAGGUUAAGAACUGAAGGUUCGGAGCCGAAGCGAAAGCGAGUCUGAAUAGGGCGAUAGUUGCAUGACGUAGACCCGAAACCGGGUGACCUAUCCAUGAGCAGGUUGAAGUGGAGGUAAAGCUCCAUGGAGGACCGAACCAGACGUCUGUUGAAAAAGGCGGGGAUGACUUGUGGAUAGGGGAGAAAUUCCAAUCGAACCCGGAGAUAGCUGGUUCUCCUCGAAAUAGCUUUAGGGCUAGCCUCAUGGAUCAUUGAUGGGGGUAGAGCACUGAAUGUGCGCGGGGGCCACAAAGCCUACCAAACGCUAUCAAACUACGAAUACCAUACAAUGCAGACCAUGGGAGUCAGUCCGCGAGAGAUAAGUUCCGCGGGCAAAAGGGGAACACCCCAGAUCAACCGCUAAGGUCCCCAAGUUCACGUUAAGUGGAGAAGGAUGUGGGAUUGCACAGACAACCAGGAUGUUGGCUCAGAAGCAGCCACACAUUUAAAGAGUGCGUAAUAGCUCACUGGUCGAGUGAUUGUGCGCCGAAGAUGUCCGGGGCUAAACGUGACACCGAAGCGAUGGGUGCGUCUGAAGAAGAUGCGCGGUAGAGGAGCAAUGUGCAGAGGCAGAAGCCGUAUCGAGAGGCACGGUGGACACUGCACAAGAGAGAAUGCCGGUAUGAGUAGCGAGAGGCAUGCGAGAAACAUGCCCGUCGAAAGCCCAAGGUUUCCUGGGGAAGGUUCAUCCGCCCAGGGUAAGUCGGGGCCUAAGCCGAGGACGGAAGUCGUAGGCGAUGGACAGCAGGUGUAGAUUCCUGCACUACCGAUGGAAUGAAGCAGUGACACAGAAGGAUAACUCGAGCAGGGUGAUGGUCAACCCUGUGCAAGCAUCAAGGUUGGGUUGUAGUGAAGUACGCAAUCCUAUAAGCUGAGGUGUGAUGCGGACCGAAAUUUCAGUAGGGAAGCGAGUGAGUUCACGCUGGCGAGAAAAGCUGCUAGUAUAUCCAAAGGUACCCGUACCGGAAACCGACGCAGGUGGGCGAGGAGAGAAUCCUGAGACGAACGGGAGAACCCUUGUUAAGGAACUCGGCAAAAUGACCCCGUAACUUCGGGAUAAGGGGUGCCUGCGAGAGCAGGCCGCAGAGAAUAGUCACAAGCGACUGUUUAGCAAAAACACAGGUAUCUGCGAAAGCGAGAGCUGACGUAUAGGUGCUGACACCUGCCCGGUGCUGGAAGGUUAAGGGAACAUGUUAGAGCAAUCGAAGCAUCGAACCGAAGCCCCAGUAAACGGCGGCCGUAACUAUAACGGUCCUAAGGUAGCGAAAUUCCUUGUCGGGUAAGUUCCGACCCGCACGAAUGGUGUAACGACUUGUGAGCUGUCUCAACAGGGGGCCCGGUGAAAUUGAAGUAUGGGUGAAGAUGCCCAUUACCCGCGACUGGACGGAAAGACCCCGUAGAGCUUUACUGCAGCCUGAUAUUGAGUUUCGGUAACUGAUGCACAGGAUAGGUGGGAGUCUGAGAGACAUGGGUUUCGGCUCGUGUGGAGACGCUGUUGGGAUACCACUCUUCGGUUACUGAAAUUCUAACAUAGCUCUGUGAAACCAGAGGAUGGACAGUGUCAGGUGGACAGUUUGACUGGGGCGGUCGCCUCCGAAAGAGUAACGGAGGCGU
RNAcentral lists this ribosomal RNA (2016 nucleotides) under human metagenome. RNAcentral describes it as "bacterial LSU rRNA". It matches the Rfam family "Bacterial large subunit ribosomal RNA", at positions 272 to 2309 of the family's 2925-position model. The record is from RNAcentral.